RNAcentral lists this long non-coding RNA (963 nucleotides) under Dasypus novemcinctus (nine-banded armadillo). Its description in RNAcentral is "lncRNA (ENSDNOG00000051402.1)". Lineage: Eukaryota; Metazoa; Chordata; Mammalia; Cingulata; Dasypodidae. The record is from RNAcentral.
AGGUUCAACCAGGUGCAUCUGAUUCCAAGCCAAUGCUCUCCAGACCACCCCACAAUGAUGGUCAUGAAAUAGGUUCUGUUGGGUUGCAGGACAACCCAGGUGGCUUCUGAGUAGGUCCAGCAGGUGAUGUUUCAGAAGGACCUCUAAGGAAUUAUAGUGGUCUUUUUCUAAGUGAGAGGAGUCAUGAGGUUUUCCUCUGUAAAGUCACCACAGUGACAUACUUAUUUAUCUUGAUAAUUAGAGGGCAGAGAUGGAAGUGAACAGGAUGCUCAAUUUCUCUCUCUCUCAUCUCUGGCAAUGGUACACCUAUUUGAAGAGAUGACAUUUUUUAAGAAGGGUGCUUAGUGAAGGGAGAGGUAUUAAUCUAAGAUAAUUUACUGUUUCUCAAUCUCUGAAAAAAAUUUAAAUAGGAAUCUCAUUGAAAUAGGAUUCUUUUCAUAUUUUAAAAUAAACUUACAUAUCAUUCACUAAAAAUUACUUUUUUAUGGCAUGAUAUUAAUACUAAGAAGUUUUUGCUCAUAGGGCCAGAUAAUGUGCCUUUUCUGUUAAUGCAUUGGGUCAUUCAAUUUUAUAGGAUUUUCCUCAUAAUUUCAGAGAUUGUUUUUAUCUCUUUUUAGCCAAUGUACAGCAAAUGAUGGUGAUAAUCAAGAAAUGCAUGGAGGAAAACACUAAAAUUCUGGAAAAUCUAUCCCAUUGGGAAAAAAUGAUCAGAGAAUCAAAGGAAUGGAUUCAACACACGAAGAGGAGCAAUGACAGCCUGUCUGAUGAAGUAAACCAACUUAGGGUUAACAUCAAAACCCUGGAAGAGAAAAAUGAAACACUGACUGACAUCCUUGAGCAGACACAAUCAUCCCUAGAGAAUGAGAGGCUUCAGAAUGCCAACAGUCAGGAUUUGGUGAGAGUUUUAGGACUUGGUGUUACUGUUGUUUGGUUUUUGAGUCUCUGUACAUGAGGUGAAAAGUG